CGUACGCAACAUACCCGUUACUGGGGCAUAGCCUUCUGAAAAGGAGAUUAACACCCCAUAAUAUCAUUGAUUGGCAUCAGUUGAUGAUUAAAAAUUUAUUGGUAGCGGAUUGGCGUGCGUCCUAUUAGCUAGUUGGUAUGGGUAAUGGCCUACCAAGGCGACGAUAGGUAGCUGGUGUGAGAGCACGACCAGCCACACGGGCACUGAGACACGGGCCCG
RNAcentral lists this ribosomal RNA (219 nucleotides) under uncultured bacterium. Its description in RNAcentral is "partial 16S ribosomal RNA". It matches the Rfam family "Bacterial small subunit ribosomal RNA", at positions 116 to 334 of the family's 1533-position model. The record is from RNAcentral.